UUUCCGUAGGUGAACCUGCGGAAGGAUCAUUAUUGUAUAACCGAGGUGCGAGGGCUGUCGCUGACCCGAAAGGCGGUGCACGCCCGAGUGCCCUCACACACACCCAUCUCACACCUUUGUGCACCACCGCGGGGGUCCCCCUUUGGCUCGUUCGGAGGGGGGCUUACGUGUUCACACAUACUUUGUAUGCAGUCUAGAAUGUAUUUUUUGUUUUUGCGAUCACGCAAUCAAUACAACUUUCAACAACGGAUCUCUUGGCUCUC
This 263-nucleotide unclassified non-coding RNA is filed under the name plant metagenome. RNAcentral describes it as "partial contains small subunit ribosomal RNA, internal transcribed spacer 1, and 5.8S ribosomal RNA". The record is from RNAcentral.